This 490-nucleotide ribosomal RNA is filed under the name uncultured bacterium. Its description in RNAcentral is "partial 16S ribosomal RNA". It matches the Rfam family "Bacterial small subunit ribosomal RNA", at positions 30 to 507 of the family's 1533-position model. The record is from RNAcentral.
AUUGAACGCUGGCGGCAGGCCUAACACAUGCAAGUCGAGCGGUAACAGAGAUUAGCUUGCUCAUCUGCUGACGAGCGGCGGACGGGUGAGUAAUGCAUAGGAAGUUGCCCAGUAGAGGGGGAUACCAGUUGGAAACGACUGUUAAUACCGCAUGAUCUCUUUGGAGCAAAGCAGGGGACCUUCGGGCCUUGCGCUACUGGAUACGCCUAUGUGGGAUUAGCUAGUUGGUGAGGUAAUGGCUCACCAAGGCGACGAUCCCUAGCUGGUCUGAGAGGAUGAUCAGCCACACUGGGACUGAGACACGGCCCAGACUCCUACGGGAGGCAGCAGUGGGGAAUAUUGCACAAUGGGCGAAAGCCUGAUGCAGCCAUGCCGCGUGUAUGAAGAAGGCCUUCGGGUUGUAAAGUACUUUCAGUUGUGAGGAAGGUUGUGUAGUUAAUAGCUGCAUAAUUUGACGUUAGCAACAGAAGAAGCACCGGCUAACUCCGUG